GUGCUCGCUUUGGCAGCACAUAUACUAAAAUUGGAACGAUACAGAGAAGAUUAGCACGGCCCCUGCACAAGGAUGACAUGCAAAUUUGUGAAGCAUUUCAUAUUUUU
Chlorocebus sabaeus (green monkey) is the source of this 107-nucleotide small nuclear RNA. Lineage: Eukaryota; Metazoa; Chordata; Mammalia; Primates; Cercopithecidae. The record is from Ensembl.